UGGGGAAUAUUGGACAAUGGGCGCAAGCCUGAUCCAGCCAUGCCGCGUGUGUGAAGAAGGCCUUUUGGUUGUAAAGCACUUUAAGCGAGGAGGAGGCUACCGAGAUUAAUACUCUUGGAUAGUGGACGUUACUCGCAGAAUAAGCACCGGCUAACUCUGUGCCAGCAGCCGCGGUAAUACAGAGGGUGCGAGCGUUAAUCGGAUUUACUGGGCGUAAAGCGUGCGUAGGCGGCUUUUUAAGUCGGAUGUGAAAUCCCUGAGCUUAACUUAGGAAUUGCAUUCGAUACUGGGAAGCUAGAGUAUGGGAGAGGAUGGUAGAAUUCCAGGUGUAGCGGUGAAAUGCGUAGAGAUCUGGAGGAAUACCGAUGGCGAAGGCAGCCAUCUGGCCUAAUACUGACGCUGAGGUACGAAAGCAUGGGGAGCAAACAGG
This 430-nucleotide ribosomal RNA is filed under the name Caulobacter vibrioides. Its description in RNAcentral is "partial 16S ribosomal RNA". It matches the Rfam family "Bacterial small subunit ribosomal RNA", at positions 355 to 776 of the family's 1533-position model. Lineage: Bacteria; Pseudomonadati; Pseudomonadota; Alphaproteobacteria; Caulobacterales; Caulobacteraceae. The record is from RNAcentral. RNAcentral also lists the same sequence under 3 other names.